Molecule: ribosomal RNA, 483 nt
Filed under: uncultured bacterium
Lineage: Bacteria
Description: partial 16S ribosomal RNA
Rfam family: Bacterial small subunit ribosomal RNA
Source: RNAcentral
AUUGAACGCUGGCGGCAGGCCUAACACAUGCAAGUCGAGCGGAUGAAGGGAGCUUGCUCCUGGAUUCAGCGGCGGACGGGUGAGUAAUGCCUAGGAAUCUGCCUGGUAGUGGGGGAUAACGUCCGGAAACGGGCGCUAAUACCGCAUACGUCCUGAGGGAGAAAGUGGGGGAUCUUCGGACCUCACGCUAUCAGAUGAGCCUAGGUCGGAUUAGCUAGUUGGUGGGGUAAAGGCCUACCAAGGCGACGAUCCGUAACUGGUCUGAGAGGAUGAUCAGUCACACUGGAACUGAGACACGGUCCAGAAUCCUACGGGAGGCAGCAGUGGGGAAUAUUGGACAAUGGGCGAAAGCCUGAUCCAGCCAUGCCGCGUGUGUGAAGAAGGUCUUCGGAUUGUAAAGCACUUUAAGUUGGGAGGAAGGGCAGUAAGUUAAUACCUUGCUGUUUGGACGUUACCAACAGAAUAAGCACCGGCUAACUUCGU